AUAAUUUAAUCUUAUUAUCUUGUUCAGAUUUAUCCGUUCUGUGCAUUUAGUCGUUUUUACAUGUAGUUUUAAGUUUUGCUACAGAAGUAGACUUUAUAAAGCUAUGAGAAUUGUAAAUAUAAAUAGCAGAAACUAGUAGUGUUUGCUACGAUGCCGUAGGUCGUUGGUUCUAUCUCUAACCGCCUCCAGCGCUCUGGUCGAUCGCCUACUGCUUCGAUGCGUCCAUUGCUCCCAGACCAUCCUACAGCUACGAUGUCUCUGCGCUUUAUCCAGGAUUCUUAGGCAUAUCAACAAUUUUUAUGGUAGGGGAUCAUCCCCAGAGAGAGGGAACUCUUUAUAAGGACAAUUCUUAUAAGGACUUGUAAAGAUAUUUCCAAGUGUCGUCUCCCCCAGAGCCGGCCACAACACUGAGAAAUACUUUACAAGUUGUUACCUGUACCUGAAAUGAUAGAAAGAAGGGGUUCACAAAUCAUAAGAGACAACCAUCACAUCAGAUUGGCUUUAGCAUCUGAGUCUGACAUCGUAGAAGUACCAUUCUUGCAUCAGAUUGGCUUUUGCAUCUGAGUCUGAGAUCGUAGAAGGACCAUUCUUGCAUCAAAUUGGCUUUUGCAUCUGAGUCUGAGAUCGUAGAAGGACCAUUCUUCCAUCAGAUUGGAUUUUGCACCUGAGUCUGACAUGGUAGAAGGACCAUUCUUGCAUCAGAUUGGAUUUUGCACCUGAGUCUGACAUCGUAGAAGGACCAUUCUUGCAUCAGAUUUGAUUUUGCACUUGAGUCUGACAUCGUAGAAGGACCAUUCUUGCAUCAGAUUUUCGACCUUGAUUUGUUCAGCACGCCGUGCGCUGCCAUUUGAAAUUUGAACAGUACCGCACCUGUCGCCGUGCGCCGUCGGCUUUAAGUGACAGUGCGCUAUACUGCUCAGUACAUUUUUCGCAGGCGUACGUAUAUCUGGCGCUGGUGGUUCGCAAUUGUACUGUGUGCACGUGUUCGCUUUCUUCUUCGCCACUGUUCGUCGCGACUGUUAGUAUUUCGGACGAUUUUAAUACGGUGCGAGCCUUAUAAUUGUUUAGUCAUCGAUUGUUAUCAACUACUGAACAAGAUUAAUCUCGAAUCGAUUGGAGACUCAAGACAUCACGCGCGCGUGUUAAGGCAUCAGCCGCCGGCCGUCGGAUCUCUUACGUUGGGCUACAGAUUUCAAUUGGAUUUAUAUUCCAAAAUGGUACUGUUAAUUAGAGGGAUAAAUCACGCGAUUUCUCCGUGUGGCAUAGUUGUUAGUGCAAAAGUAAUACAGUGAGUAGUUACAUCAGUUCUACUAACAAUUCUACUUUGUGUGUAACGUUUGAUAAGAGAGCGUUGUGACUCGAUGGUUCCUAGGAUAUGCCUUGGAUCGUACGUACGUUCGUUUUAUUAAAAAUGAAACAAGAAUGUAUCGUUAAAUAUAAUUCAUAAAACUCAAUUUAAAAUUAAAA
Long non-coding RNA from Dalotia coriaria, 1467 nucleotides. RefSeq lists it as uncharacterized. NCBI's taxonomy places the organism in Eukaryota, Metazoa, Arthropoda, Insecta, Coleoptera, Staphylinidae. The record is from RefSeq and is a predicted model, not a curated record. The transcript is spliced from 8 exons.